This 400-nucleotide ribosomal RNA is filed under the name uncultured bacterium. RNAcentral describes it as "bacterial SSU rRNA". It matches the Rfam family "Bacterial small subunit ribosomal RNA", at positions 355 to 770 of the family's 1533-position model. The record is from RNAcentral.
UCGAGAAUUUUCCGCAAUGCGCGAAAGCGUGACGGAGCGACGCCGCGUGCAGGAAGACGCUUUUCGGAGUGUAAACUGCUUUUAUCAGGGAAAAACUAGCGAUGGUACCUGAUGAAUAAGAGGUUGCUAACUGCGUGCCAGCAGCAGCGGUAAUACGUGGACCUCGAGCGUUAUCCGGAUUUAUUGGGCGUAAAGCGUUAAACGGUGGUUUAGAAAGUUGGACAUAAAAGCCCAGAGCUCAACUCUGGAUCUAUGUCCAAAACUCCUAAGCUAGAGGAUGGAAGAGGCAAGCGGAAUGGCUAGUGUAGCAGUAAAAUGCGUUAAUAUUAGCUAGAACACCAUAUGCGAAAGCGGCUUGCUGGGACAUUCCUGACACUAAAUAACGAAAGCGUGGGUAGCG